This 253-nucleotide ribosomal RNA is filed under the name uncultured bacterium. Its description in RNAcentral is "partial 16S ribosomal RNA". It matches the Rfam family "Bacterial small subunit ribosomal RNA", at positions 524 to 776 of the family's 1533-position model. The record is from RNAcentral.
UACGGGGGGGGCAAGCGUUGUUCGGAAUUACUGGGCGUAAAGAGCGUGUAGGCGGCCAAACAGGUCCGUUGUGAAAACUGGAGGCUUAACCUCCAGACGUCGACGGAAACCGUAUGGCUAGAGUCCGGAAGAGGAGAGUGGAAUUCCUGGUGUAGCGGUGAAAUGCGCAGAUAUCAGGAAGAACACCAAUGGCGAAGGCAGCUCUCUGGGACGGUACUGACGCUGAGACGCGAAAGCGUGGGGAGCAAACAGG